GAGGGAUGGGUGACCAAGACAUAUCCUUCCUCACCACCAGAAGAAGAAAUCUCAUGUUAUUAGGAAAGUUGGUUCUAAUAGGGCCACUUGGAGUGGUGAGAACAAAGCAAAUAAGGUGUUUUCUUCCGACAACAAUGACUUGAUCAGAAGUGUUAAACAGUUCCAUUAUGAAAACUACAAAGGUGAAGACUGUUGAUGAUAAUCACUCUUGGAUCAUGUAUGAGUACACCCAUAUCUUACUU
Molecule: unclassified non-coding RNA, 242 nt
Filed under: Hevea brasiliensis (rubber tree)
Lineage: Eukaryota; Viridiplantae; Streptophyta; Magnoliopsida; Malpighiales; Euphorbiaceae
Source: RNAcentral